CCCUUAGAUGUUCUGGGCCGCACGCGCGCUACACUGACGAAUGCAACGAGCUUAUAACCUUGGCCGAAAGGUCUGGGUAAUCUCCAAAUUUCGUCGUGAUGGGGAUAGAUUAUUGCAAUUAUUAAUCUUCAACGAGGAAUGCCUAGUAAGCGCAAGUCAUCAGCUUGCGUUGAUUACAUCCCUGCCCUUUGUACACACCGCCCGUCGCUCCUACCGAUUGAAUGGUCCGGUGAAGCGUUCGGACCGUGGCCUUUGGACGGUUCGCCGUCUGUUGGCUGCGGGAAGUUCGUUAAACCUUAUCAUUUAGAGGAAGGAGAAGUCGUANCA
RNAcentral lists this ribosomal RNA (327 nucleotides) under uncultured eukaryote. RNAcentral describes it as "partial 18S ribosomal RNA". It matches the Rfam family "Eukaryotic small subunit ribosomal RNA", at positions 1470 to 1796 of the family's 1831-position model. The record is from RNAcentral.